UAAGAUAGUUUUUAACUAAUUAUGGCUUCUAACUAUAUCAAGAGAGGUUAAAAUCCUUUCUAUCUUAA
Molecule: transfer RNA, 68 nt
Filed under: Branchinotogluma japonicus
Lineage: Eukaryota; Metazoa; Annelida; Polychaeta; Phyllodocida; Polynoidae
Description: tRNA-Ser
Source: RNAcentral